GAUGAACGCUGGCGGCGUGCCUAAUACAUGCAAGUCGAGCGAACGGACGAGAAGCUUGCUUCUCUGAUGUUAGCGGCGGACGGGUGAGUAACACGUGGAUAACCUACCUAUAAGACUGGGAUAACUUCGGGAAACCGGAGCUAAUACCGGAUAAUAUUUUGAACCGCAUGGUUCAAAAGUAAAAGACGGUCUUGCUGUCACUUAUAGAUGGAUCCGCGCUGCAUUAGCUAGUUGGUAAGGUAACGGCUUACCAAGGCAACGAUGCAUAGCCGACCUGAGAGGGUGAUCGGCCACACUGGAACUGAGACACGGUCCAGACUCCUACGGGAGGCAGCAGUAGGGAAUCUUCCGCAAUGGGCGAAAGCCUGACGGAGCAACGCCGCGUGAGUGAUGAAGGUCUUCCGAUCGUAAAACUCUGUUAUUAAGGAAGAAUAUAUGUGUAAGUAACUGUGCACAUCUUGACGGUACCUAAUCAGAAAGCCACGGCUAACUACGUGCCAGCAGCCGCGGUAAUACGUAGGUGGCAAGCGUUAUCCGGAAUUAUUGGGCGUAAAGCGCGCGUAGCGGUUUUUUAGUCUGAUGUGAAAGCCCACGGCUCAACCGUGGAGGGUCAUUGGAAACUGGAAAACUUGAGUGCAGAAGAGGAAAGUGGAAUUCCAUGUGUAGCGGUGAAAUGCGCAGAGAUAUGGAGGAACACCGGUGGCGAAGGCGACUUUCUGGUCUGUAACUGACGCUGAUGUGCGAAAGCGUGGGGAUCAAACAGGAUUAGAUACCCUGGUAGUCCACGCCGUAAACGAUGAGUGCUAAGUGUUAGGGGGUUUCCGCCCCUUAGUGCUGCAGCUAACGCAUUAAGCACUCCGCCUGGGGAGUACGACCGCAAGGUUGAAACUCAAAGGAAUUGACGGGGACCCGCACAAGCGGUGGAGCAUGUGGUUUAAUUCGAAGCAACGCGAAGAACCUUACCAAAUCUUGACAUCCUUUGACAACUCUAGAGAUAGAGCCUUCCCCUUCGGGGGACAAAGUGACAGGUGGUGCAUGGUUGUCGUCAGCUCGUGUCGUGAGAUGUUGGGUUAAGUCCCGCAACGAGCGCAACCCUUAAGCUUAGUUGCCAUCAUUAAGUUGGGCACUCUAAGUUGACUGCCGGUGACAAACCGGAGGAAGGUGGGGAUGACGUCAAAUCAUCAUGCCCCUUAUGAUUUGGGCUACACACGUGCUACAAUGGACAAUACAAAGGGCAGCGAAACCGCGAGGUCAAGCAAAUCCCAUAAAGUUGUUCUCAGUUCGGAUUGUAGUCUGCAACUCGACUACAUGAAGCUGGAAUCGCUAGUAAUCGUAGAUCAGCAUGCUACGGUGAAUACGUUCCCGGGUCU
RNAcentral lists this ribosomal RNA (1370 nucleotides) under uncultured bacterium. RNAcentral's name for it is "bacterial SSU rRNA". It matches the Rfam family "Bacterial small subunit ribosomal RNA", at positions 28 to 1381 of the family's 1533-position model. The record is from RNAcentral.